GUUGCUAUAGCUCAUUGGUAGAGCGUGAUACUGUUAAUAUCGAGAAGGAAGUUCGAUUCUUCCUAGCGACU
Molecule: transfer RNA, 71 nt
Organism: Cryptococcus amylolentus CBS 6039
Lineage: Eukaryota; Fungi; Basidiomycota; Tremellomycetes; Tremellales; Cryptococcaceae
Rfam family: tRNA
About the family: Transfer RNA (tRNA) molecules are approximately 80 nucleotides in length. Their secondary structure includes four short double-helical elements and three loops (D, anti-codon, and T loops).
Source: Rfam